Camellia sinensis is the source of this 109-nucleotide small nucleolar RNA. The record is from RefSeq and is a predicted model, not a curated record. Lineage: Eukaryota; Viridiplantae; Streptophyta; Magnoliopsida; Ericales; Theaceae.
UAUGGUGGUGUGAUGAUGAUAAAUGUUAAUCCCAGCUCAUCAUAAGGCCUUGUUUUUAGAGACUAAGGCCUGGGAAUAGACUCUAUCCAACAUCUAUCUGAGCUUCAUA